UACGGAGGAUCCGAGCGUUAUCCGGAUUUAUUGGGUUUAAAGGGUGCGUAGGUGGAUUGGUAAGUCAGUGGUGAAAGUUUGCAGCUUAACUGUAAAAUUGCCGUUGAAACUGCCGGUCUUGAGUGCAAAUGAGGUAGGCGGAAUGCGUCGUGUAGCGGUGAAAUGCUUAGAUAUGACGCAGAACUCCGAUUGCGAAGGCAGCUUACUGGGAUGACAACUGACGCUGAGGCAACGAAAGCGGUGGGUAUACAAACAGGAUUAGACUA
Molecule: ribosomal RNA, 266 nt
Filed under: uncultured prokaryote
Description: partial 16S ribosomal RNA
Rfam family: Bacterial small subunit ribosomal RNA
Source: RNAcentral